GACGAACGCUGGCGGCGUGCUUAACACAUGCAAGUCGAACGGAAAGGCCCUGCUUUUGUGGGGUGCUCGAGUGGCGAACGGGUGAGUAACACGUGAGUAACCUGCCCUUGACUUUGGGAUAACUUCAGGAAACUGGGGCUAAUACCGGAUAGGAGCUCCUGCUGCAUGGUGGGGGUUGGAAAGUUUCGGCGGUUGGGGAUGGACUCGGGGCUUAUCAGCUUGUUGGUGAGGUAGUGGCUUACCAAGGCUUUGACGGGUAGCCGGCCUGAGAGGGUGACCGGACACAUUGGGACUGAGGUACGGCCCAGACUCCUACGGGAGGCAGCAGUGGGGAAUAUUGCACAAUGGGCGGAAGCCUGAUGCAGCAACGCCGCGUGCGGGAUGACGGCCUUCGGGUUGUAAACCGCUUUCGCCUGUGACGAAGCGUGAGUGACGGUAAUGGGUAAAGAAGCACCGGCUAACUACGUG
This 468-nucleotide ribosomal RNA is filed under the name uncultured bacterium. RNAcentral describes it as "partial 16S ribosomal RNA". It matches the Rfam family "Bacterial small subunit ribosomal RNA", at positions 28 to 507 of the family's 1533-position model. The record is from RNAcentral.